AGGAAAAGAAACUAACAAGGAUUCCCCUAGUAACGGCGAGUGAAGCGGGAUGAGCUCAAGCUUAAAAUCUCCGUGCAAUUUUUGCACGGCGAAUUGUAGUCUAUAGAGGCGUGGUCAGUAUAAGCACUUGGGGUAAGUUCCUUGGAAAAGGACAGCAUGGAGGGUGAUACUCCCGUUCAUCUCUAAGUUGCUUGUGCGUACGACCCGUUUUCUUUGAGUCGCGUUGUUUGAGAAUGCAGCGCAAAGUAGGUGGUAAAUUCCAUCUAAAGCUAAAUAUUGGUGCGAGACCGAUAGCAAACAAGUACCGUGAGGGAAAGAUGAAAAGAACUUUGAAAAUAGAGUUAAAGAGUACCUGAAACUGCUGAAAGGGAACCAAAUCGUUUCCAGUGUCUAUAAUCCGUGGUAUAUUUCAUUGGCGAGUGUGUGCGUGCGUGUGCUGUUGCAGUAGCUUUUUGGCUGCGCUCAGUGUGUGUGCUGUGUGUACUUGCUGGUGCCCUGUGCUACGGUGGGACGUCAAGGUCAGUUCGUAUGCUGCGGGAAAUGGCUACUGAGGAGGUAGGGCUUACGCUUGCGUUUGUCUGUUAUAUCUUGGUGGACGAGUCGUCGCGGUUGGGACUGAGGUGCCUACAACGUGCUUUUGAGUGGGCUUGGGUCUCCGUGUGCGCCGUGUGCGGAUAGCUUGCUAUGCGUGUGUGGUUGUAUGUGGAUUGAUGCGAGCCGUAACUUGUAGUCGUUCGGGACGUUGACGAAAUGGAGCGAUUUGACCCGU
RNAcentral lists this ribosomal RNA (769 nucleotides) under Plasmopara obducens. Its description in RNAcentral is "LSU rRNA". It matches the Rfam family "Eukaryotic large subunit ribosomal RNA", at positions 54 to 652 of the family's 3401-position model. Lineage: Eukaryota; Oomycota; Peronosporomycetes; Peronosporales; Peronosporaceae. The record is from RNAcentral.